RNAcentral lists this ribosomal RNA (409 nucleotides) under Papilio tydeus tydeus. RNAcentral describes it as "partial 16S ribosomal RNA". The record is from RNAcentral. Lineage: Eukaryota; Metazoa; Arthropoda; Insecta; Lepidoptera; Papilionidae.
GGGCUGCAGUAUUUUGACUGUACAAAGGUAGCAUAAUCAAUAGUCUCUUAAUUGGUGACUUGUAUGAAAGAUUGGAUGAGAUAUAAACUGUCUCUAAUUAAUCUAUAAAAAUUAAUUUUUUAGUUAAAAAGCUAAAAUAAUUUUAAAAGACGAGAAGACCCUAUAGAGUUUAAUAUUUUAUUUAAUAAUUAUUAAUAUAUGCAUAUAAUUUUAACAAUUAAAAUUAAAUCAAAUAUUUUGUUGGGGUGAUAAAAAAAUUAAAUUAACUUUUUUUGAUUGUAGACAUUAAUUUAUGGUUAAAUGAUCCAUUUAUAGUGAUUAAAAGAAAAAAUUACCUUAGGGAUAACAGCGUAAUUUUUUUUUUUAGUUCAAAUAGGAAAAAAAGUUUGCGACCUCGAUGUUGGAUUAA